UAAGAGGUCACGCCUGCCCAGUGACUAUAUGUUUAACGGCCGCGGUAUUUUGACCGUGCAAAGGUAGCGCAAUCACUUGUCUUUUAAAUGGAGACCUGUAUGAAUGGCAUCACGAGGGCUUAACUGUCUCCUUUCCCAAGCCAAUGAAAUUGAUCUCCCCGUGCAGAAGCGGGGAUAACUACAUAAGACGAGAAGACCCUAUGGAGCUUUAGACACUAAGACAGCUUAUGUUAAUUACUCCUAAUAAAGAAGCGAACUAAAUAAGUCCUGUCCUAAUGUCUUUGGUUGGGGCGACCCUGGGGAAAUAAAAAACCCCCAUGUGGACUGGAAACAUGUUUCCAAAACCAAGAGCUUCAGCUCUAAGAAGCAGAAUUUCUGACCAACUAGAUCCGGCAACGCCGAUCAACGGACCGAGUUACCCUAGGGAUAACAGCGCAAUCCCCUUUUAGAGUCCAUAUCGACAAGGGGGUUUACGACCUCGAUGUUGGAUCAGGACAUCCUAAUGGUGCAGCCGCUAUUAAGGGUUCGU
This 529-nucleotide ribosomal RNA is filed under the name Labroides dimidiatus (bluestreak cleaner wrasse). Its description in RNAcentral is "partial large subunit ribosomal RNA". It matches the Rfam family "Bacterial large subunit ribosomal RNA", at positions 1846 to 2576 of the family's 2925-position model. Lineage: Eukaryota; Metazoa; Chordata; Actinopteri; Labriformes; Labridae. The record is from RNAcentral.